RNAcentral lists this ribosomal RNA (441 nucleotides) under uncultured bacterium. RNAcentral's name for it is "bacterial SSU rRNA". It matches the Rfam family "Bacterial small subunit ribosomal RNA", at positions 338 to 795 of the family's 1533-position model. The record is from RNAcentral.
CCUACGGGUGGCACCAGUGGGGAAUUUUCCGCAAUGGGCGAAAGCCUGACGGAGCAACGCCGCGUGAGGGUGAAGGCCUCUGGGCUGUAAACCUCUUUCCUCAAGGGAGAAGAUCUGACGGUACUUGAGGAAUAAGCCACGGCUAAUUCCGUGCCAGCAGCCGCGGUAAUACGGGAGUGGCAAGCGUUAUCCGGAAUUAUUGGGCGUAAAGCGUCCGCAGGCGGCCCUCCAAGUCUGCUGUUAAAACGUGGAGCUUAACUCCAUCAUGGCAGUGGAAACUGUUGGGCUUGAGUGUGGUAGGGGCAGAGGGAAUUCCCGGUGUAGCGGUGAAAUGCGUAGAUAUCGGGAAGAACACCAGUGGCGAAGGCGCUCUGCUGGGCCAUAACUGACGCUCAUGGACGAAAGCCAGGGGAGCGAAAGGGAUUAGAUACCCGGGUAGUC